ACGUAGGGUCCGAGCGUUGUCCGGAGUUACUGGGCGUAAAGCGCGCGCAGGCGGCUGUAUAAGUCUGGCGUGAAAGCCCCCGGCUCAACCGGGGAGGGUCGUCGGAGACUGUAGAGCUUGAGGGCGGUAGGGGCUGGUGGAAUUCCCGGUGUAGUGGUGAAAUGCGUAGAGAUCGGGAGGAACACCUGUGGCGAAGGCGGCCAGCUGGGCCGACCCUGACGCUGAGGCGCGAAGGCGUGGGGAGCGAACGGGAUUAGAUACCCCGGUAGUCCACGCAGUAAACGAUGCAGACUAGGCGUGGGGGGACUUGACCCCCUCCGUGCCGGAGCGAACGCGGUAAGUCUGCCGCCUGGGGAGUACGGCCGCAAGGCUA
RNAcentral lists this ribosomal RNA (373 nucleotides) under uncultured bacterium. RNAcentral describes it as "bacterial SSU rRNA". It matches the Rfam family "Bacterial small subunit ribosomal RNA", at positions 525 to 896 of the family's 1533-position model. The record is from RNAcentral.